GGAUAAACANNUUCGGAAGACUUCUUAGAGGGACAAGCGGUGUUCAGCCGCAUGAAGCUGAGCAAUAACAGGUCUGUGAUGCCCUUAGAUGUCCAGGGCUGCACGCGCGCUACACUGGAGGAAUCAGCGUGCUGUAACCAUUGCCGAAAGGUAUUGGUAACCCCUUGAAAAUCCUCCGUGAUCGGGAUCGGGAAUUGCAAUUAUUUCCCUUGAACGAGGAAUUCCUAGUAAGUGUGAGUCAUCAGCUCACGUUGAUUACGUCCCUGCCCUUUGUACACACCGCCCGUCGCUGCCCGGGACUGAGCCGUUUCGAGAAAAGCGGGGACUGCUGUUUUCGAGACCUUUCGGGGUGGAGAUUCUUUGGUGGAAACCGCCUUAAUCGCAGUGGCUUGAACCGGGCAAAGUCGUAACAAGGUUUCCGUAGGUGAACCUGCGGAAGGAUCAUUAUCGAGCGAAUCCAAAACGAACAAGUCUCCCAACGUGCAUACCGUCCAUUUGCAUGUUGUUGUGAGCCGCAUGGAAACUCAUACACAUGUGGUGGCAGCCGUCUGCUGUGCUUUAUUGUGCAGACAAUGGCUUAUGAGUGGCCGUGUGCCUGUUGAACAACGGUGACCAAUUUGGCGUCUACGCCGUAUCUAGCUUCUGCCUGGACCGUCAGUAGCGAUGAAAGAUGCGGAGAAAGUUCCUCUGUUUUGACUCAUUCGUGGGCCAACACAGGGUCGAGCAGACUUAAUGAGCCACGCUUGGUGGCCGCCAAAACCCAAAACACAACCAGUCUAUUUGACAUUGUUCAGUAUGCGUUGACAUUACGUUAAUGUACAAAUCUUGGCGGUGGAUCACUCGGUUCGUGGAUCGAUGAAGAACGCAGCCAGCUGCGAUAAAUAGUGCGAAUUGCAGACACAUUGAGCACUAAGAAUUCGAACGCACAUUGCGCCAUCGGGUUCAUUCCCGAUGGCACGUCUGGCUGAGGGUCGAAUUAUGGCAAACUAUCUUCGUGGCUCCGGCCGUGAAGCAUUCGGCAAGCAGUUGUCGUGUUGUUGGUUGGUCGGUCUUUGAAUCGGUCGAUUGGCGGCUCGACGGCUCCUUGCUUAGUUGUUGUGUGAGGAGACGUCAACACCGAACGACGGUGAUAUUGGUGAUCGCAAAAGCGAAAAGUAUGCCACUUCAUAGGGGCAACAACCAGCAUACGUGUGUUGGCUGGUUGAUGAACUGUUGGCAACGGAGUGACGGUGUGAUCAGGAACGUUUGUAUUUGACCUCAGCUCAGUCGUGAUUACCCGCUGAAUUUAAGCAUAUAAUUA
Molecule: small RNA, 1300 nt
Filed under: Skrjabinisakis physeteris
Lineage: Eukaryota; Metazoa; Nematoda; Chromadorea; Rhabditida; Anisakidae
Description: Anisakis physeteris contains 18S rRNA, ITS1, 5.8S rRNA, ITS2 and 28S rRNA
Rfam family: Eukaryotic small subunit ribosomal RNA (bases 1-447)
Source: RNAcentral